Molecule: ribosomal RNA, 1066 nt
Filed under: Limosilactobacillus reuteri
Lineage: Bacteria; Bacillati; Bacillota; Bacilli; Lactobacillales; Lactobacillaceae
Description: bacterial SSU rRNA
Rfam family: Bacterial small subunit ribosomal RNA
Source: RNAcentral
UUUAUAUGAGAGUUUGAUCCUGGCUCAGGAUGAACGCCGGCGGUGUGCCUAAUACAUGCAAGUCGUACGCACUGGCCCAACUGAUUGAUGGUGCUUGCACCGGAUUGACGAUGGAUCACCAGUGAGUGGCGGACGGGUGAGUAACACGUAGGUAACCUGCCCCGGAGCGGGGGAUAACAUUUGGAAACAGAUGCUAAUACCGCAUAACAACAAAAGCCACAUGGCUUUUGUUUGAAAGAUGGCUUUGGCUAUCACUCUGGGAUGGACCUGCGGUGCAUUAGCUAGUUGGUAAGGUAACGGCUUACCAAGGCGAUGAUGCAUAGCCGAGUUGAGAGACUGAUCGGCCACAAUGGAACUGAGACACGGUCCAUACUCCUACGGGAGGCAGCAGUAGGGAAUCUUCCACAAUGGGCGCAAGCCUGAUGGAGCAACACCGCGUGAGUGAAGAAGGGUUUCGGCUCGUAAAGCUCUGUUGUUGGAGAAGAACGUGCGUGAGAGCAACUGUUCACGCAGUGACGGUAUCCAACCAGAAAGUCACGGCUAACUACGUGCCAGCAGCCGCGGUAAUACGUAGGUGGCAAGCGUUAUCCGGAUUUAUUGGGCGUAAAGCGAGCGCAGGCGGUUGCUUAGGUCUGAUGUGAAAGCCUUCGGCUUAACCGAAGAAGUGCAUCGGAAACCGGGCGACUUGAGUGCAGAAGAGGACAGUGGAACUCCAUGUGUAGCGGUGGAAUGCGUAGAUAUAUGGAAGAACACCAGUGGCGAAGGCGGCUGUCUGGUCUGCAACUGACGCUGAGGCUCGAAAGCAUGGGUAGCGAACAGGAUUAGAUACCCUGGUAGUCCAUGCCGUAAACGAUGAGUGCUAGGUGUUGGAGGGUUUCCGCCCUUCAGUGCCGGAGCUAACGCAUUAAGCACUCCGCCUGGGGAGUACGACCGCAAGGUUGAAACUCAAAGGAAUUGACGGGGGCCCGCACAAGCGGUGGAGCAUGUGGUUUAAUUCGAAGCUACGCGAAGAACCUUACCAGGUCUUGACAUCUUGCGCUAACCUUAGAGAUAAGGCGUUCCCUUC